RNAcentral lists this ribosomal RNA (253 nucleotides) under uncultured bacterium. Its description in RNAcentral is "partial 16S ribosomal RNA". It matches the Rfam family "Bacterial small subunit ribosomal RNA", at positions 524 to 776 of the family's 1533-position model. The record is from RNAcentral.
UACGUAGGGUGCAAGCGUUGUCCUGAAUUAUUGGGCGUAAAGAGCUCGUAGGCGGUCUGUCGCGUCUGCUGUGAAAACUCGGGGCUUAACCCCGGGCCUGCAGUGGGUACGGGCAGACUAGAGUGCGGUAGGGGAGACUGGAAUUCCUGGUGUAGCGGUGAAAUGCGCAGAUAUCAGGAGGAACACCGGUGGCGAAGGCGGGUCUCUGGGCCGUAACUGACGCUGAGGAGCGAAAGCAUGGGGAGCGAACAGG